This 63-nucleotide transfer RNA is filed under the name Conus denizi. Its description in RNAcentral is "tRNA-Gln". Lineage: Eukaryota; Metazoa; Mollusca; Gastropoda; Neogastropoda; Conidae. The record is from RNAcentral. RNAcentral also lists the same sequence under 1 other name.
UAUCCAGCGGUGUUAGGGCACUAAGAAUUUUGAUUUCUUAAGAGAGGUUCAGUUCCUCCUGAU